Molecule: ribosomal RNA, 473 nt
Filed under: uncultured Thiomonas sp.
Lineage: Bacteria; Pseudomonadati; Pseudomonadota; Betaproteobacteria; Burkholderiales
Description: bacterial SSU rRNA
Rfam family: Bacterial small subunit ribosomal RNA
Source: RNAcentral
AUGCAAGUCGAACGGCAGCGCGGGGCAACCUGGCGGCGAGUGGCGAACGGGUGAGUAAUACAUCGGAACGUGCCCUGUGAUGGGGGAUAACUACGCGAAAGCGUAGCUAAUACCGCAUACGACCUACGGGUGAAAGUGGGGGAUCGCAAGACCUCACGUCAUAGGAGCGGCCGAUGGCGGAUUAGCUAGUUGGUAAGGUAAAGGCUUACCAAGGCAACGAUCCGUAGCUGGUCUGAGAGGACGACCAGCCACACUGGGACUGAGACACGGCCCAGACUCCUACGGGAGGCAGCAGUGGGGAAUCUUGGACAAUGGGGGCAACCCUGAUCCAGCAAUGCCGCGUGUGGGAUGAAGGCCUUCGGGUUGUAAACCACUUUUGGCGGGGGCGAAAUAUCGAGUGCUAAUACCAUUCGGUGAUGACGGUACCCGCAGAAUAAGCACCGGCUAACUACGUGCCAGCAGCCGGGGGUAAU